UCCCUGGUGGUCCAGUGGCUAAGAUGCUACAUUGUCAAUACAGGAGGCCCGGGUUCAAUCCCUGGUCAGGCAA
Molecule: transfer RNA, 73 nt
Organism: Ovis aries (sheep)
Lineage: Eukaryota; Metazoa; Chordata; Mammalia; Artiodactyla; Bovidae
Rfam family: tRNA
About the family: Transfer RNA (tRNA) molecules are approximately 80 nucleotides in length. Their secondary structure includes four short double-helical elements and three loops (D, anti-codon, and T loops).
Source: Rfam